Molecule: ribosomal RNA, 494 nt
Filed under: uncultured bacterium
Lineage: Bacteria
Description: partial 16S ribosomal RNA
Rfam family: Bacterial small subunit ribosomal RNA
Source: RNAcentral
GACGAACGCUGGCGGCGUGCUUAACACAUGCAAGUCGAACGGAAAGGCCUGUCCUUCCUUGUGUUGGACGGGUACUCGAGUGGCGAACGGGUGAGUAACACGUGAGUGAUCUGCCCCCAACUUGGGUAUAAGCCUGGGAAACUGGGUCUAAUUCCCGAUAGGACUGCAGGGUGGUGCCUGUGGUGGAAAACGAUUUUCUAGUGGUUGGGGAUGAGCUCGCGGCCUAUCAGCUUGUUGGUGGGGUAAUGGCCUACCAAGGCGGCGACGGGUAGCCGGCCUGGGAGGGUGGACGGCCACAUUGGGACUGAGAUACGGCCCAGACUCCUACGGGAGGCAGCAGUGGGGAAUAAUGCACAAUGGGCGGAAGCCUGAUGCAGCGACGCCGCGUGGGGGAUGACGGCCUUCGGGUUGUAAACUCCUUUCGACCGCGAGGAAGCCGCCUGGUUGGAAGGGUGGUGACGGUAGUGGUAGAAGAAGCACCGGCUAACUACGUG